Bicyclus anynana (squinting bush brown) is the source of this 2636-nucleotide long non-coding RNA. RefSeq lists it as uncharacterized. NCBI's taxonomy places the organism in Eukaryota, Metazoa, Arthropoda, Insecta, Lepidoptera, Nymphalidae. The record is from RefSeq and is a predicted model, not a curated record. The transcript is spliced from 4 exons.
CUACUGAAAAAGACGAACCGCCAAGCGAUUUAGCGUUCCGAGGAUUUUCAUCCUCCUCCUAACAAGUUAGCCCGCAUUCAUCUUAGAUUGCAUCAUCACUUACUACAGGCGAGAUUGUAGUCAAGGGCUAACUUGUAAAGAAUACUACCCGACAUCGUACCGGAAACAUAAAUUGGCGGCAGGGUGUAACAAGCUACGGAUGUAGCCUCCCACCAGCCAGACCAGGACUAUUUAAGAAAACCUCAAUCGGCCCAGCCGGGGAUCAAACCCAGGACCUCCGUCUUGUAAAUCCACCGGGUAACCACUGCACCACGGCCGUCAAAAUGUAGCCAAGUUGAAAUUAAAUUAAAUGAAAUUUGAAACGAAACGGGAUGAAAUUCGGUUAAAUUAAAUUAAAUCGAUAUGAUCACAUGAUCCACCGAUCAAUUGGGUAAUCAUUCCCAUAUUUUUUUUUAGUUUUUGAAGCGUUAGUGUUUGUAGAAUGAUAAUUGAUGCGUAACUUGGCUACAUGCCAUGUAGCCAACUUGCAUUCUUUAACGAUGUUUUGUUUAACUCGCAAGUGCUAGUUUCCAAUUCAUCUAUAUCUUUCUCAUUUUAUUCGAUCUCUAACAAUAGAGAGAGAUAGAGGUUAAUUCGAAACUCUCAUUUUCGAGUCUUACAAAACAUUUAUAGAAUAGUACCUACUGUACUAUACUGAUAAUGAUGAUUUCAGAUGCAGUAAAAAUUAACGUAUCUCCUGAAGUGUUUAGUUCAGUAGUCCAUAGACCGGGUAAAGCUCUGACCGACGUGUUCGUAGCAGCGAGGGUGUUCCAGCCCGCUGUCAUAUACUUGAAGAACAUCGAAAGAGUUUUCACUAAAAAAGUAUUAUAUUAUGUAUUUUUUAUGAGAUAUACCCUUUGACUAUUUAGACUAUGGACCUGUUUCGCACAGUUUGAAGAGCUGGAACAUCAAGCGGGUUGCAGGGAGCCGUUCGAUGCUGGCGGCUCGAAACUUGUUUUUGGAAGUGAGGCCUAUGACCAGCAGUGGUCGUCCAUCGGCAGAUAAUGAUGAUGAUAUCCCAGUAGUUAUACUUUUAGCUUCGUGGCAUCCCAGCACUUCAGAACAUGAUUUCAGCACAUGAGAACAUCCUAUCGGAGGGUAGAAUAUACUGAUGCAAGCAAUAGUAACUACUAUAACCUAUAACUGAAAUGAUUUCCUCGUAUAUACUUGCAUUGACAAAGUGAAAGUCAGUUCUACAACCCUAUUUGAAGAGCUAAUUUGACUAUUUAGACUAUGGACCUGUUUCGCACCCAAAUUCACCAACAAAAAUGUCUGUCGUUUUUUGAGGGGGACGAGGUAAACUUACACAUUGAAAAUAUUUAUGUAUUCUGUGUCCAUACACUACACACAACUAUAAAUUAGACUCGCUAUACACGCACGCGUAUUUUUUACACAGCUAACAAACACAUCGCUAAGAUUAUCCACAGAUUAAAUAUAUAGAAUAUUCGAUUACUUGACCGAUUUUUUGCUUUUGUUGAAUUUGAUAAUAUUAUGGUAGAAAUACUUACAAAUGAAACGUUACUCCAUCUUUUACUAAACUACAAGUUUUUGGCCGUUUUUUGUGUCAUUCAACUACACAAACCGGCAUUUUUAGGGAGCUCUUUACACUACGAAAACGAUUACAACAAUAAAACAUCUAUUAUCAGAUUUAUAAACGCGUUAGAUCAUUGAUUUUUGAUCUUUGCCAGAGGGGUAACGAUUAGCGAGGCAGGUCCUGUUAUUAAUGGUCGAAGGAUAUACCAUAGGUACAUAAUAUCAUGUUGCCUCAUUCCCGUGGGGAGUUAAGUUUGAAGUGUCUUUAUGUGUGGCAUUGUAGUUUCUAACCUGAGAUUAGAGAACCGUUUAAUAAUCUCGGCUUUUUCCUAAAUUGAUGAUUAUGAUGAAUUUUUUUAGUUUAAAUUAUUACUUGGUUUAGUGUGACAGAGAAAAAAUAAACGUGACAAAUUAAAAUUGGUAAUUGUAUUUAAAUAUACACAGACGAUCUGUAUCAGCUACUGUUUUAUUCAUUAAAUAUUCAUUGAAUUAAUUAUAAAUUUUUCCAUUUAUAAAAAUCUUUGUUUUAUUAUUUUAACCGUUUUAGGUAGCUGAAAGCAAUCAUCUGAAAGCAAAAUCUUUAAAAAAGCCUCUUACUAAACUCCUAAAACAAAUAUCGCCUAAUGAUAAAAUUAUAUUUAUUGGAUAAGAAGCAUGCCGAUCAACUACCCCGUGUCGCCACUGGCCCAAGUGUUACAGGGAUACGGAUUCGGGAUGCUGAUGGAACUUUAUGAUAGAGUCAUGAGUGCUGACAGGAUUCUAAAGUAUCUGCCUUACAUUAUAAUUUUACUCUCGUUUAUCUUCAUAAAAUUCAUCUAUUAAACGUGACACCAUUAUCGCCGUUUGAGUUCCUUGAGCCGUUGAUGGAGGCGGAAAUCGAAUCUGUGACCAAAGAGGAAUAUCAAGAGUACACGGACUUCUUCAUCAAAUACUCACCCCUAAGGAAGGCGAGGGACGAAUAUGCUAUAAUCAAUACAUACAGGGCUGCCGUCUACGAUACAAUAGUCGCUAAGGAGCAGGAAAAAAAGGAAUGACAUAAUAUAUAAGCAAAAAAUAAAUUAAAA